RNAcentral lists this ribosomal RNA (245 nucleotides) under uncultured Actinomycetales bacterium. RNAcentral's name for it is "partial 16S ribosomal RNA". It matches the Rfam family "Bacterial small subunit ribosomal RNA", at positions 796 to 1041 of the family's 1533-position model. Lineage: Bacteria; Bacillati; Actinomycetota; Actinomycetes; Actinomycetales. The record is from RNAcentral.
CAUGCCGUAAACGUUGGGCACUAGGUGUGGGACUCAUUCCACGAGUUCCGUGCCGCAGCUAACGCAUUAAGUGCCCCGCCUGGGGAGUACGGCCGCAAGGCUAAAACUCAAAGGAAUUGACGGGGGCCCGCACAAGCGGCGGAGCAUGCGGAUUAAUUCGAUGCAACGCGAAGAACCUUACCAAGGCUUGACAUAUGCCGAAAACUCAUGGAGACAUGGGGUCCGCAAGGGCGGUAUACAGGUGG